This is a long non-coding RNA of Heterocephalus glaber (naked mole-rat), 2551 nucleotides long. The record is from Ensembl. Lineage: Eukaryota; Metazoa; Chordata; Mammalia; Rodentia; Bathyergidae.
AAAUAGGCAGAAAAGUAGAGCUACCACCAAAGAGGGAAGGUCUGGGGAGCUAGUAAAGCUGGGUUCUAGUCCUAUCUGUUUAACAAACUUUAAAUCCCUGUGCAUAGAUAUAAUCUCUUCCUAGUUAUUUUUAUGUUGAUUAUUGGUGCUGGGAAUUGAACUCAGGGCCCUGUGCAUGUGUUCUGCCACUGAGAUACACCUCUAGGCCUAGAGUUAUUUUUAAAUUGUUAAGUUGAGGUGUUUGGAUGGUUCUUUUCAGAACAGUCAAUUGUCCUUUGGGAAUAGUUGGUUGACUAAUUCUUGAAACCUGUGGUAGUUGUAACUGGAGAAUGACUAGAUCAUAAGGUUAAUAGGGUAGGGAUCAUGGCUGUUUCGUUAACUAUUGAACACUGGACUCCUGUUCGUAUAGAUACCUGAUAAAACACUGCUGGAAUGGAACGAUUGAGGACUGGCUAGCCAGAAGAAUGUGUUUACUUCCAAUUCAGAGUUAGUUGCACGUAAAGCUCUUGAGCAAUGAAUCUAAAAGUUAAGAAUCAGUGUAAAUUUAGGGAAACUACAAAGGGAAGUAAAUUCUACAGUCCGCCUCCAUGGAUAAUAUGGGUGAGGAUUCUGAUACUCCAGUCUAUCACUGGUAUCUAUAGGUUAGGUACUUUUGUGACAUACCCAAAGAGCAUGACUCAUACUGAUAGAUCCACAAGUUAGACAAAAGUCUUUUCUAAAUGGAACAGAUGUCUGUGGUGUUGAUGUUACCUGACUCAACAGUGACUAAUUUCUUUAGUGGAUCCUGACCUUCCAUCUUCCCUCUUACUCUUGGCAUCUACCAUAAUCACCAGGCUAAUAUUCAUAGGUCCAGAUUAAACCCCAGAAAAAAUAAGAAAAGGCAAGGAUUGUGUUGUUGGUGCACACUGUUCUCAGGUUGGCAAAGUACAGCCUCAGAGAUCCAGCUUAACUGGAUGUUCCAGAACAAGGCUGUUUCAUGGGUAGACACAGCCCAGGCAGGGUGGGGAGAGUUACAAAAGCCACUCCUGUCCCCAGUCCAAACUAGCCAGGAUGCAGCAGAGGGACUGUUUUCUUUAAACUCAGCGCUUACAUAUGUGAACUUCUCUUGGCAUUUAAUUGCAUUCUUUUUUCCACAGUUCCUUUUCUGGUUUAGAGCUCAAAACACUCAUGCCAGGUAUCAUUGAAGUUGGCUAGGUAUUUGCAACUUGUUAAGUGUCUAGCUAAUGGAAAGUUGGGAAUCAGCGUUGGAAUCUUCCCCAGCAAGCUUUAAAGUGCUUUGUCAUAACUACGUCCUGUCUUUGAUGGUUGCAAACCGGAGGUUGAGAGUUCCAAUAGGCAUGCCAGUUUCUCAACAAAAUGAGCCGUAAUUAAUUUCAUUAUAAUUGUUUUCUUCUUUUGUUUUUCUGAUACCUACCUUCAGAACAGAAGUAACACCAAAGCACUUAGUUUCAUUAACAUUCAGAUAGACCACACUGGCAUCUCAUCAACUACCUUCCAAAGUGUCUUAAGGACAGCUGAUAUUUCUUUUAGUAAAUAUUAGAUUACAAAUUUAAAAUUUUAUUAUUAGCAGUACAUUUAGUUACUCUGUUUACAUUUUUCACUUAAUAGAUGUGGAAACUGGGUUUUAAAAAAGGUUGAGUAAUUUCCUCUAGGCCACAUUGCUAGGAGGCAGCAAAGUUAGAGCUAAAACCCAGUGAUCUUAACUCUCAAAUCAGUGCCCGUUUCUCUGUUCCCAAAAUAUAUUCCCUAAAAUGUGGCCCAUAAAAUGCUAUUGGUCCCCAAACCUCUUUCAGAGGGCCAAUAAGGUCCAAAGUAUCUUAACAAUACUAAGCUGAAUUAGCCUGAUUGUCAUUCUCUCAUGAGUGUGGAGUGGAAUUUGCCAAAGAUCCAUGACAUGAAAUACCACAACAAUGAAUAUGAAGGCAGAUAUGAGAAUCUAAUUGUCUUCUGUUAUGUCAGACAACAAAAAGAUUCUGCAAAGUUAUGAAACAAUGUCAUUAUUCUCACUAGUUUUUGAGAAAUACUUUUUGUUCAUAGCAAUGAAUUGUUUAUGUUGACAUAUAAUGAAAUUACUAUUUUUAUUACAAAAUAAAUAGUGUUAAAAAUUUCUCAGUUGUUAUUUACAUAUAUAUUAAAAUAUGAUGUGUUUAAAUAAAAAUAUUAUUACAGUAAAAGACACAUUGCCAUCAGUUCCCCUUGAAAUACUUUCCUCACAUUCUGAAGCAGUUCUGGAAGUUCUUCUUCCAGAGUGUCUUGAUGUCCUAGAUCAAUUAAAAACGUUUACUUUUCAUGGUCAUUUUAACUUUGAGGAAGAGCCACAAAUCCCAUGGUACCAGAUCCACUGAAUAAGGUGGAUGAGGACACACUGCAACAUUUUUGCUAGCCUGCUUGGCAUUGGAAGGCACACAGCAGCAGCAUUCAUUGUAUUUUUUCAUCACAUCCUGUAAGGACAUUCACAAAAGAGAACUUCCAGAACUGCUUCAGAAAGUGGAAAGAACCAUGAGAUAGUGUGUUCAAAGUGACGGGGAAUAUUUUGAGAAGGAUUCAUGGC